Molecule: ribosomal RNA, 468 nt
Filed under: uncultured bacterium
Lineage: Bacteria
Description: partial 16S ribosomal RNA
Rfam family: Bacterial small subunit ribosomal RNA
Source: RNAcentral
GACGAACGCUGGCGGCGUGCUUAACACAUGCAAGUCGAACGGAAAGGCCCUGCUUUUGUGGGGUGCUCGAGUGGCGAACGGGUGAGUAACACGUGAGUAACCUGCCCUUGACUUUGGGAUAACUUCAGGAAACUGGGGCUAAUACCGGAUAGGAGCUCCUGCUGCAUGGUGGGGGUUGGAAAGUUUCGGCGGUUGGGGAUGGACUCGCGGCUUACCAGCUUGUUGGUGGGGUAGUGGCUUACCAAGGCUUUGACGGGUAGCCGGCCUGAGAGGGUGACCGGCCACAUUGGGACUGAGAUACGGCCCAGACUCCUAAGGGAGGCAGCAGUGGGGAAUAUUGCACAAUGGGCGGAAGCCUGAUGCAGCAACGCCGCGUGCGGGAUGACGGCCUUCGGGUUGUAAACCGCUUUCGCCUGUGACGAAGCGUGAGUGACGGUAAUGGGUAAAGAAGCACCGGCUAACUACGUG